RNAcentral lists this ribosomal RNA (231 nucleotides) under uncultured bacterium. Its description in RNAcentral is "partial 16S ribosomal RNA". It matches the Rfam family "Bacterial small subunit ribosomal RNA", at positions 524 to 753 of the family's 1533-position model. The record is from RNAcentral.
UACAGAGGGGGCAAGCGUUGUUCGGAAUUACUGGGCGUAAAGGGCGCGUAGGCGGCCUUCUAAGUCGAACGUGAAAUCCCCGGGCUCAACCCGGGAACUGCGUCCGAUACUGGGAGGCUUGAAUCCGGGAGAGGGAUGUGGAAUUCCAGGUGUAGCGGUGAAAUGCGUAGAUAUCUGGAGGAACACCGGUGGCGAAGGCGGCAGUCCUGGACCGGUAUUGACGCUGAGGCG